Molecule: unclassified non-coding RNA, 279 nt
Filed under: Rhizophagus sp. (in: glomeromycetes)
Lineage: Eukaryota; Fungi; Glomeromycota; Glomeromycetes; Glomerales; Glomeraceae
Description: partial contains 5.8S ribosomal RNA and internal transcribed spacer 2
Source: RNAcentral
GUGAAUCAUCAAAUCUUUGAACGCAAAUUGCACUCUCUUCUGAUAGGAUGCCUGUUUGAGGGUCAGUAUUAGUAAAAAUCGGUGUGUUGCUUCUUUGUGACGCUCCGGAGUUUGUGUCAUCUUAAAAUCCUUUAGGUUUUAAGAGGAUUAAAAUUGACUUUUUUUGCGCAUUUUAGAGGGACAUAAAUUCUUUGUUUUAUUCGUCUGUCUUAAUGCUCAUAAUCCUAUUAGAGGCGACCAUAGCGUGGGGUUUCGUGUCUAUAAAUUGUUUAGGAUUUG